Molecule: long non-coding RNA, 1872 nt
Organism: Amphiprion ocellaris (clown anemonefish)
Lineage: Eukaryota; Metazoa; Chordata; Actinopteri; Pomacentridae
Exons: 4
Source: RefSeq, a predicted model, not a curated record
UCUAAAUCUUAAAUCGUUUGCCAAGUGUAAAGCUAAAUGUUUAGAAAUUAUGCAAAUUAGGCAGGUUAACGCCAGUCUUCCACGCCCCUUGCCGUAGCCUCAGAUCACGAAGCCCCGCCCACACCUCCGACUGCGGCUCAGUGGGUGAUGCGAGGGGAAGAAGCAGACAUGGCGGGCUCGCUCCAAUCAGACCAACACGAGAGGGCGGUUAUGGCCGGUGUACGGGCUGCACUUUAGUCCACACCACAAACGGUUUCCACACCACAGAUACCUCUGGCUGGGCCCUCACGUACUUCAAGUUUUGCCGCGACCACCACGUCACUAAGAUCGCGAUGAAGACACCAAUGAGGAUGCAGAAGACCUUGGAGGCCCCAGACGAGAAUUCUUCCAUCUACUUGGAAAAGCUGUCUUUAAAGACAGUGGAGCAUUUGAAGGUCCCUCUCUAUCUCCCCACACAUCCACCAACCACUGGAACACAUCUCCAAAGUUCUGCCGGGCCAGCUCAGCUUCCCCUCAGAAGAAGUGCUGCCACCUGCCAGAUGAAGGAGCCUUUUGAGAGGGAGCUGGCAUCGUGAUUGGACUGUACUUUGGUCUGUUCCAAUCCAGCUUCAGCUCCAGAGACGGCAGGCGGGACGAGUCAACGGAGGCCGGGUGGACAAAGGCAUGCAGCUGAGUACAAUCCAGAAAACAACAGAGGAGGAGUGCAGUGACCCAGGGCCAGAACAAACAGUAUGUCUCUUAGAAAACAUCAUAGUAUAGCCUUUGGUAUGAAAAACACCAUCAUAUACAUCGUAUAUUGUACAAAUAACAAGUCAAAGGAAAGAGACAUACAUUGUAGAAUUGUAGUAAUUCUGGGCUGACUGAUUUACUGAUUAUCAGUAUUUUAUUUUUUACUGAUUUACGGAAAUAAAUACGUUUAAAAAUGGUGCUACUUUGGCUCUGAACCUUAAUCUACCUGGGGUCGCUCUGUCUUCUGGAGUGAUUUGAUUGGUUAUACGUCACGAAUAAAACUCCUUUAACUUAACAUCUGUAAACAAAACAAAAACGUAUCAACAAAGUUUUCUGUUAAAGUUUGUGUUCUUGUAAGUUUAACUCCAAGAUUUUAAAUACUUUCAUUUACUGCAAAUGAAUAUCCAAAUGAAUAUACUCCAAAUGUCUCAAUAAUAAUCAUUAUCAGCCUUAAAAACCCACAAAACACCCCUUUAUACUCGACCACACUUAGUACAGUCCGGUUCCCCCUUCUAUAAAUCUGCUUGGAAUCUUCCACUUCCUGUUUGCCAAAGUGGCCUUCUACCUGGACAGGUUUUGUUGGAGCUCAUGCAACAAACAUUUUGGGUAACUGCACUUUAAUAUGGAUGGAUGACACUGAAUUAGAGUCUGUUUUAAUGAGACUGAGUUAAGAUGUGUAGCUCUGUCAUUAAAUACGAAAUUAUUUCUCAGAAUUCACAGAGAAAAGUCUGAAAUGUUUGCUAGGUUAGCGUCCCACAUGUUCUUUGGCUCAGCUAAUGCUAACUCUCUCCAACUUCUGGAUCUCUUGAGUUGCUUGUUGUUAAAAUAUCUUGCUAGAGGUGCUGAAGCUCAGAAAGUCUGAGAUGUUUGUUCAGAAUAAGCUCAUUCUCAAGUCUUAUCUGAACUGUCCUCUUUUGUUUGAACUUUCCCUAAACUUAGGAGUUAAUGACAGAGCAGCACAUCCAGACUCACUCUCAUUUAUGUAGAAAUUAAACUUCAGUGUCAUUCAUUGAUGUUAAAGAGCAGUUUUUCAAAUGUUUGUUGCACAUGCUCCCAACCAAACCAGUCCAGGUGGAAGACGAUGUGAAGAGAAAGCUCCAGAGGAUGAAUAUCACACAUUUACGUUGGAAAUAAAUGUCCUUU